This 207-nucleotide ribosomal RNA is filed under the name uncultured bacterium. RNAcentral describes it as "partial 16S ribosomal RNA". It matches the Rfam family "Bacterial small subunit ribosomal RNA", at positions 568 to 774 of the family's 1533-position model. The record is from RNAcentral.
UGCGUAGGCGGAUGUUUAAGUCAGAUGUGAAAGCCCCGGGCUCAACCUGGGAACUGCAUUUGAUACCGGGCAUCUAGAGUGUAGUAGAGGGGGGUAGAAUUCCUAGUGUAGCGGUGAAAUGCGUAGAUAUUAGGAGGAAUACCAGUGGCGAAGGCGGCCCCCUGGACUAACACUGACGCUGAGGUACGAAAGCGUGGGGAGCAAACA